GUGCAAAUCUUCAUGUAUUGGAACUGCCUGUGUAUUGUUUUUACGAUUGGAGACUUGGCCAAGAAAAGAUGAGUUCCGGGAACGCGUCCUAUCGCUGCUCUAUGUCUUCCUCUGCGGAUUUUUCCGAUGAGGAUGAUUUCAGCCAGAAAUCUGGCUCCGCAUCCCCAGCUCCGGGAGACACCUUACCCUGGAAUUUGCCUAAACAUGAGAGAUCGAAAAGAAAGAUUCAAGGGGGCUCAGUGCUGGACCCUGCCGAGAGGGCAGUGCUUCGGAUAGCAGGUAAGAGCAUCUGGGGAAGGGGAUGGAGUGGGGGAAGAGAGUUGCGGAAAUUCGCCCAUCUACCUCCUGGGGGGCCAUAGCGGGAGCUGAUGCACUGGGCAGGAAUCUGUGCUCAAGGUGGGGGAGGAUGAUGACCAUGUUUACUUUAUGCCUUGUUUUACCAAUAGAGCCAUUUGCCCUGCCUGCUGGUGACUAAGCUGUUUGGCCCUGCCUUCUGGUUGGAUGAAUCGAUUCCUUUGAAAUGCAAGGAAAUAUUUACAGACAUUUGCACUAAACUUUCCUAUUUACUGCAUUAGUU
Molecule: small RNA, 577 nt
Filed under: Pongo abelii (Sumatran orangutan)
Lineage: Eukaryota; Metazoa; Chordata; Mammalia; Primates; Hominidae
Description: retained intron
Source: RNAcentral